RNAcentral lists this ribosomal RNA (467 nucleotides) under uncultured bacterium. RNAcentral describes it as "bacterial SSU rRNA". It matches the Rfam family "Bacterial small subunit ribosomal RNA", at positions 355 to 825 of the family's 1533-position model. The record is from RNAcentral.
UAGGGAAUAUUGGACAAUGGGUGAGAGCCUGAUCCAGCCAUGCCGCGUGCAGGAAGAAGGCGUUAUGCGUUGUAAACUGCUUUUUGCCAGGGGAUAAAAAGACCGUGCGCGGUUAAUUGAAGGUACCUGGUGAAUAAGCCACGGCUAACUACGUGCCAGCAGCCGCGGUAAUACGUAGGUGGCAAGCGUUGUCCGGAUUUAUUGGGUUUAAAGGGUGCGUAGGUGGCCCUGUAAGUCAGUGGUGAAAUAUCUCAGCUUAACUGAGAGGGUGCCAUUGAUACUGCAAGGCUUGAGUACAGAUGAGGUAGGCGGAAUUGACGGUGUAGCGGUGAAAUGCAUAGAUAUCGUCAAGAACACCGAUAGCGAAGGCAGCUUACCAAGCUGUAACUGACACUGAGGCACGAAAGUGUGGGGAUCAAACAGGAUUAGAUACCCUUGUAGUCCCUGAGCGGGCUGGCAAGGCGCAU